UACGUAGGGUCCGAGCGUUGUCCGGAAUUAUUGGGCGUAAAGGGCUCGUAGGCGGUUUGUCGCGUCGGGAGUGAAAACCUACAGCUUAACUGUGGGCUUGCUUUCGAUACGGGCAGACUUGAGGCAUGCAGGGGAGAACGGAAUUCCUGGUGUAGCGGUGAAAUUCGUAGAUAUCGGGAGGAACACCGGUGGCGAAGGCGGCGACCUGGGUCGAUACUGACGCUGAUGCGCGAAAGCGUGGGGAGCAAACAGG
RNAcentral lists this ribosomal RNA (253 nucleotides) under uncultured bacterium. RNAcentral describes it as "partial 16S ribosomal RNA". It matches the Rfam family "Bacterial small subunit ribosomal RNA", at positions 524 to 776 of the family's 1533-position model. The record is from RNAcentral.